This 1112-nucleotide long non-coding RNA is filed under the name Parus major (Great Tit). RNAcentral's name for it is "lncRNA (ENSPMJG00000009824.1)". Lineage: Eukaryota; Metazoa; Chordata; Aves; Passeriformes; Paridae. The record is from RNAcentral.
GCUCCAAUUUUGUUGAAAAGCUGGUGAUCCAUGAAGGCUUGAGCAAGAUCAUUUUAGAGUCUUUUCCAAUUUUAACUAUUCUGUAAUUCUGUGUUUCCCAGUCAACAAAGGUGCUGCUGGGACCAGGUAGGAUAACCCUGUCCCCAGGUCAGUCUCUUCCAGAUGUGCUCAUUCUCCUUCCCCAGCUCAGUGCAUCCCCUCCAAGCCAGCACAAAAUAAAUUCCCACUUUUCCCCGACGCCGCUUUUACACGCACACUCCAUUCCACUCUUCCCAUGGGGCGUUUCCCACUGGAUCUGUUCUGUUGUGGAGUCCAACAGAUGGCUGCCAAAAAAAAUAAUAUCCAAGACAAACAAACAAAGUAGCCCCAACAGCAUGGCUGGAGUUGGUGUGGUGCAAUUGGAGUGCAAUGCGGUUCGCUGACCGCCUCCAUCGCUCCCUGUCAUUACUGGUAAAUUAUUCAAUCUUUUAUCAAGGAAAAUGCUUUAAACAUGCAAUCAUCUGUUGUUUAUCUUGUGUUCUAAAAGUGUGUGUGGCUGUGCCAGCUGUGUCCUAAAUUCUUUCAUUUUAUCUGCCCAGUUGUACACAGACGCCAAUGUAAAUAAGUACCAGGUACACACACACACCUACACUCGUAGGAUCCAAUCCUCUUCUGAUCUUUCUCUUUCAUCUCCAAGGAAAGAGAAGGGGGAAAAAAACACUGUUCCACCUCCACUGUGCUCACACAACCCCAUCACCACCAGCUUGCCCUGCUCCAGUUCCAGUGGGGAUUUUCCUGAGCAAUGUGGGACUGGGAUGUUUUGUAGCACAGAUUUGCCGAGUGACCUUAGUGACCGAAUGGCUUCAAGGGGUUAUUUUAGGCAUCGCUGCUUAUUCGAGGCAAAUCUCAGCUCUGUGGAGGUGUGGAAGGGAUGAUUCAGCAGAGGAACCUGCAUGGCUGGAAACAUUCCAUGGCCAUGGAAAACAGAAAUUUUGUGGACUUCUUGCUGGGCAGCUGACAGAAAUCUCCUUUUUUGUCCUCACAAGGUGGCUCUGCUGUAAUCAGCUGCUCCUCCCAGCAGUGCAGGGGGUCAGUCCUGCAGUCUGGAUUAAAUAAAAAGUGCCACACAUCAU